GCAGGGGUAGUCAAGCCUGGCCAACGACGCAGGACUUAGGAUCCUGUCCUUAGUGGUCCGAGAGUUCAAAUCUCUCCCCCUGCACCA
RNAcentral lists this transfer RNA (87 nucleotides) under Methanomassiliicoccaceae archaeon. Its description in RNAcentral is "tRNA-Leu". It matches the Rfam family "tRNA". From Rfam's summary of the family: Transfer RNA (tRNA) molecules are approximately 80 nucleotides in length. Their secondary structure includes four short double-helical elements and three loops (D, anti-codon, and T loops). The record is from RNAcentral. Lineage: Archaea; Methanobacteriati; Thermoplasmatota; Thermoplasmata; Methanomassiliicoccales; Methanomassiliicoccaceae.